GGAGAGGCCUCCAGUGCACCUCGUCAGCUGCACUCAGCUCUUAAAUGCAGCUAUUCACAGAGGGCCCAGGCUCUCCCCUGCCCUGUGACACUACGUGGGACACACACCUCCACAGGGAAUUUGAAGAAUCUCCAGGAGGGCCAGAGAGUAGACUUGGAUGCCACCCAGCCAGCAAUAGAGAAGUUGGGACCACCCAGCCAGGGACAAGGCCACACCUCAGCCAUCACCACCCACAAGCAACGCAGCAUGUAUGAGCUGGGACAGGACACCAGAAACUACCUCAUGAUUGCUCCGGAAGAAGCAGCUGCAGCCUUUGGACGAACAGGUCCUAAAGAGCUAUGGAAACAGCAUCGUGGAAACAGCACGAUACAGUUAUUGAAUGACUGGUCUGGGCCAAGCAUUAUUCUCGGCGCUGGGGAUGCAGCAGGGGGCCUGGAUCAUACUCAAGGUCACUAGAUACUUGUUACAUGAGUGAAUGAAGUCAUUCAGUACUCAUUGGCUCCACUGGGCUCUGACUUGCUGGGCAUGACAAGCCCACCAGGGAGCCCUGGAUAUCCCUCCUCUUUCCAAGCAGCUGGGGAAGCUGGUUGCCCUGGAAACCUGUUUUAGGUGGCAGCAUCUUCCUCCAGGAGGUCGAGGUGUCUCCUGGACCUUAGAGACUCCAGGACACAGGACAGAGCUCUGAACUGUGGAGCCGGGAAACCUGGUUCCAGUCUCAGCCCAGAUUUACCAGCCGUAGACUUGGCCAAGUCACUCACAAAACCCAAAGGGUGAGGCAGAGCUGGCCCUGCCUGCAUGGCAGGGAGAUUUUGAGAAGCAUGAAGAGAGUCAGGAAGUGCCUGGGGAUCGAAUCCACCCAGCAGUGCAAGGCAUUGCUCUCCCAAUUCUCCAUUGGGAAAAAAAAAUCCAGACAAAGACAGUACAGAGAAUAUGGUAGCCAAUACUGCAGCAGUCACCACCCGGAAAAACAGACACUAAUAUAAUAACUUGUGAUUUUUGCUUCAUAUCUCUGUGGCAUAAAACCAUGACACAUAAAGUUUAUGUCCCCCUUUAACCAUUCCUCAAUGCUAUUCCCCUCCUCUCUCCCCCUCCUCAACGGCAACCACUGAUAUGUUCGCUCUAUUCUGUGCUUUUCAUAUUUUAAAUAUAUUGUUUAUGGGAAUGAUCAUAUAUAAGAAA
RNAcentral lists this long non-coding RNA (1179 nucleotides) under Homo sapiens (human). Its description in RNAcentral is "long intergenic non-protein coding RNA 2814". Lineage: Eukaryota; Metazoa; Chordata; Mammalia; Primates; Hominidae. The record is from RNAcentral.